UACGUAGGGUGCAAGCGUUAUCCGGAAUUAUUGGGCGUAAAGAGCUCGUAGGCGGUUUGUCGCGUCCGCUGUGAAAACUGGAGGCUCAACCUCCAGCCUGCAGUGGGUACGGGCAAACUAGAGUGCGGUAGGGGAGAUUGGAAUUCCUGGUGUAGCGGUGGAAUGCGCAGAUAUCAGGAGGAACACCGAUGGCGAAGGCAGAUCUCUGGGCCGUAACUGACGCUGAGGAGCGAAAGCAUGGGGAGCGAACAGG
RNAcentral lists this ribosomal RNA (253 nucleotides) under uncultured bacterium. RNAcentral's name for it is "partial 16S ribosomal RNA". It matches the Rfam family "Bacterial small subunit ribosomal RNA", at positions 524 to 776 of the family's 1533-position model. The record is from RNAcentral.